GUCAAUAUAUCCGAGUGGUUAAGGAGAUAGACUUGAAAUCUGUUGGGCUAUGCCCGCGUAGGUUUGAACCCUGCUGUUGACG
Ipomoea nil (Japanese morning glory) is the source of this 82-nucleotide transfer RNA. It matches the Rfam family "tRNA". Rfam says of the family: Transfer RNA (tRNA) molecules are approximately 80 nucleotides in length. Their secondary structure includes four short double-helical elements and three loops (D, anti-codon, and T loops). Further hydrogen bonds mediate the characteristic L-shaped molecular structure. tRNAs have two regions of fundamental functional importance: the anti-codon, which is responsible for specific mRNA codon recognition, and the 3' end, to which the tRNAs corresponding amino acid is attached (by aminoacyl-tRNA synthetases). tRNAs cope with the degeneracy of the genetic code in two manners: having more than one tRNA (with a specific anti-codon) for a particular amino acid; and 'wobble' base-pairing, i.e. permitting non-standard base-pairing at the 3rd anti-codon position. The record is from Rfam. Lineage: Eukaryota; Viridiplantae; Streptophyta; Magnoliopsida; Solanales; Convolvulaceae.